GACGAACGCUGGCGGCGUGCUUAACACAUGCAAGUCGAACGGAAAGGCUCCAGCUUGCUGGAGUACUCGAGUGGCGAACGGGUGAGUAACACGUGGGUAAUCUGCCCUGCACUCUGGGAUAAGCCUGGGAAACUGGGUCUAAUACUGGAUAUUACCUUUCUCCUUAUGGGGUUUGGUGGAAAGUUUUUCGGUGUAGGAUGAGCCCGCGGCCUAUCAGCUUGUUGGUGGGGUGAUGGCCUACCAAGGCGACGACGGGUAGCCGGCCUGAGAGGGUGAUCGGCCACAUUGGGACUGAGAUACGGCCCAGACUCCUACGGGAGGCAGCAGUGGGGAAUAUUGCACAAUGGGCGGAAGCCUGAUGCAGCGACGCCGCGUGAGGGAUGACGGCCUUCGGGUUGUAAACCUCUUUCAGCAGGGACGAAGCGUAAGUGACGGUACCUGCAGAAGAAGCACCGGCUAACUAUGUG
This 467-nucleotide ribosomal RNA is filed under the name uncultured bacterium. RNAcentral describes it as "partial 16S ribosomal RNA". It matches the Rfam family "Bacterial small subunit ribosomal RNA", at positions 28 to 507 of the family's 1533-position model. The record is from RNAcentral.